Molecule: long non-coding RNA, 499 nt
Organism: Cyprinodon tularosa
Lineage: Eukaryota; Metazoa; Chordata; Actinopteri; Cyprinodontiformes; Cyprinodontidae
Exons: 3
Source: RefSeq, a predicted model, not a curated record
UAGAUGGGAAAAACAGCAGACUAGGGUUGCAUUUGGUGGGGGUGUGAGUGCCAUGCUGUAGGCUGUGGGACAGUCGGGACAGUGCAAGGUGUUGCUACUGCUAGGUGUGGUUAGGUUUACAGAGAGGGAAGAGCAUGCAUAGUGAUAAUGGAGGUGGUAAAGAAAGGGGGGAGAGAUGGAAGGAUUGGUCAUGCGCAAGGCCGUAGGCCAUUGGAGGCAGCUUAGAAAUCUCUUACAUCUGGAAAAGCCAAAAUUCGUGGGAUUUGGCCUGACAGCCAUGACAGUCAUCGGGGCGGCCGACAACAACUGUCUCCUGUGUUAGCGGCAGCAGUACAUAUGUGUGUGUAUGAAGAAUGAACCGAAAUGGAUGAACACUUUCCAUCUUUGUAAGAUCUCGUUUUGAUAUGUUUUUCUUGUUAGACUUUAAUUUUAAAGGAUUGCCUGUUGUAAUACUGAUGAGUUCAGAUCCAGUGGAGUAAUAAAGGUAUUUGUAUUGUGA